RNAcentral lists this ribosomal RNA (406 nucleotides) under uncultured bacterium. RNAcentral's name for it is "partial 16S ribosomal RNA". It matches the Rfam family "Bacterial small subunit ribosomal RNA", at positions 30 to 526 of the family's 1533-position model. The record is from RNAcentral.
AUUGAACGCUGGCGGCAGGCCUAACACAUGCAAGUCGAACGAGUGGCGGACGGGUGAGUAAUGUCUGGGAAACUGCCUGAUGGAGGGGGAUAACUACUGGAAACGGUAGCUAAUACCGCAUACCAUCGGAUGUGCCCAGCUGGGAUUAGAUAGUAGUUGGGGUAAAGGCUCACCUAGGCGACGAUCCCUAGCUGGUCGUAGAGGAUGACCAGCCACACUGGAACUGGGACACGGCCCAGACUCCUACGGUAGGCAGCAGUGGGGAAUAUUGCACUAUGGGCGCAAGCCUGAUACAGCCAUGCCGCGUGGAUGAAGAAGUCCUUCGGGUUUUAAAGUACUUUCAGCGGGGAGGCGUUACCCGCAGAAGAAGCACCGGCUAACUCCGUGCCAGCAGCCGCGGUAAUUC